Molecule: long non-coding RNA, 1612 nt
Organism: Carassius gibelio (silver crucian carp)
Lineage: Eukaryota; Metazoa; Chordata; Actinopteri; Cypriniformes; Cyprinidae
Exons: 2
Source: RefSeq, a predicted model, not a curated record
GUGAAAAUAUGAAUUACCAAUAUGAUCCUGUAAUGUCACGUCCUCAUAACGUGCCAGUUUGGUCGUCAGGACAUACUCAUCACGUUCCAGCGACGUUCCACUAUAACGUUGCCACGACGGAUAUGGGAAUCACAAAGUUACGUCACUGGAACGUUAUGUGGUACGUCGCUGAGACCAAUAUGGUAUUUUAUAGGAACGUCCUCAUAACGUGACAGUUUGGUCGUUGGGACGUACUCAUCACGUUCCAGCGACGUUCCACUAUAACGUCGCCACGACGGAUAUGGGAAUCACAAAGUUACGUCACUGGAACGUUAUAUGGUACGUCGCUGCGACCAAUAUGGUACUUUAUAGUAACGUUCUCAUAACGUGCCAGUUUGGUCGCUGGGACGUACUCCUCACGUUCCAGCGACGUUCCACUAUAACGUCGCCACGACGGAUAUGGGAAUCACAAAGUUACGUCGCUGGAACGAAUAUAGUCUGGUCCAGUUACGUCGUCACAACGUAACUGUGUUAGCUGGGAGCUGCUCUAUGUGAAAUCACGCACCUGAUGGAAUUUACCGCGGAUUAGAACCGGCUUUACUAACGAGAUGGGAUCUCUGAGAAUUGAGCUGGAUGUUCCGAUGGCUGAUGCUCGCAUCUCUGCAUCUUGGACAGAAAUGUCUUGCUGGAUGUUGAAUUACCAUCAACUCAACCUUACCAACUCAAGACAGAAAUGCUCUUUUUUUUUUUUUUUUUGCCAACCCAACCUUGGUGUUACAGUUGACAUGUAUACACUUCACUGACCACAUUACACUGGCUUGAUCCUGCAGAUUUGCCCUGUAUAACAUAUGAUCAGACCCUUCCUUAGGGGGCAUGCUACAGAACUCCUUGUCCAAGCUCUCAUUUUCUCCAGACUGGACUAUUGUACUGCUUUUUUGGCAGACCUUCCAGCAAUUUAUUUUCUCUAAUUUAACAGAAUAGGUCUGGAAGCCCUGCUGCCAGUUUUUGUUUUUUGUUUUUGUUUUUUUUCAUACAGUGUAUGAACUUGAUUUAUUUGAUCUGAGUUGUAUUGUGAUAUUGAGUCAAAGCUCACUUCUUCAAACAGGCCACAAUUCAAACAUUUAAUGGGUCAAUUUACAAUAUAUCAGUUUUCUAAAACCGGUGAAGUUGAGUAGCACUGAAAGACUAAAAUGAUACUCACCAGUGACAGUAACUCUGUAUGUCUUUAUGAUGCUGAAUCUGGUGCUGUUAAUCAGUAGUUUAUAAACUCCAGAGUCUGUGUUUCUGGUGUUCAUGAUGGUCAGAGAUCCAGUCUGAUUGUCCAGCUUCAGUCUGUCUCUGAAUCUCUCAGUACCUUCAUUACACUGAACAUCUGUACAGAUCUUACUGAGAUCUCCAGUGAUUUGAGCGAUGCGAGUGUCAUUGAAAUACCAUCUGAUUCUGACUUGUUGGUUUGUUUCAACACCAGUGUGUAGAGUGACUGAUUCUCCCUCCAUCACUGACACUGAGACUCUGUCCGUUUUAACACCAGAAGCACCUAAAGGAGUAGAAAAUCAUAAUUUAAUCAAUUAAUAAUUUCUUCCAGAUGAAUGCAUGCAAAUAAAACUGUUCCUCUGCAUUAAUGGCAACACUA